RNAcentral lists this ribosomal RNA (478 nucleotides) under uncultured bacterium. RNAcentral describes it as "partial 16S ribosomal RNA". It matches the Rfam family "Bacterial small subunit ribosomal RNA", at positions 28 to 523 of the family's 1533-position model. The record is from RNAcentral.
GACGAACGCUGGCGGCGUGCUUAACACAUGCAAGUCGAACGGUAAGGCCCUUCGGGGUACACGAGUGGCGAACGGGUGAGUAACACGUGGGUGAUCUGCCCUGCACUUCGGGAUAAGCCUGGGAAACUGGGUCUAAUACCGGAUAGGACUCCGGACUGCAUGGUCUGGGGUGGAAAGCUUUUGCGGUGUGGGAUGGGCCCGCGGCCUAUCAGCUUGUUGGUGGGGUGAUGGCCUACCAAGGCGACGACGGGUAGCCGGCCUGAGAGGGUGACCGGCCAGACUGGGACUGAGAUACGGCCCAGACUCCUACGGGAGGCAGCAGGGGGGAAUAUUGCACAAUGGGCGCAAGCCUGAUGCAGCGACGCCGCGUGAGGGAUGACGGCCUUCGGGUUGUAAACCUCUUUCAGCAUCGACGAAGCGAAAGUGACGGUAGGUGCAGAAGAAGGACCGGCCAACUACGUGCCAGCAGCCGCGGUAA